UACGGGGGGUGCGAGCGUUGUCCGGAAUCACUGGGCGUAAAGGGCGCGUAGGUGGUCUGAUAAGGGUGUGGUGAAAGCCCGGGGCUCAACCCCGGGUCGGCCGUGCCGACUGUUAGACUAGAGUAUUGUAGAGGGUAGUGGAAUUUCCGGUGUAGCGGUGAAAUGCGUAGAGAUCGGAAGAAACACCGGUGGCGAAGGCGGCAUCCUGGACCAUUACUGACACUGAGAAGCGAAAGCCAGGGGAGCAAACGGG
Molecule: ribosomal RNA, 253 nt
Filed under: uncultured bacterium
Lineage: Bacteria
Description: partial 16S ribosomal RNA
Rfam family: Bacterial small subunit ribosomal RNA
Source: RNAcentral